RNAcentral lists this transfer RNA (85 nucleotides) under Anaerobutyricum hallii. Its description in RNAcentral is "tRNA-Leu(cag)". It matches the Rfam family "tRNA". From Rfam's summary of the family: Transfer RNA (tRNA) molecules are approximately 80 nucleotides in length. RNAcentral also lists the same sequence under 9 other names. The record is from RNAcentral. Lineage: Bacteria; Bacillati; Bacillota; Clostridia; Lachnospirales; Lachnospiraceae.
GCGGAUAUGGCGGAAUUGGCAGACGCGCUAGAUUCAGGUUCUAGUGAGCAUUACGCUCAUGCAAGUUCAAGUCUUGUUAUCCGCA